CUACCCUUGACAUGUCUGGNAUGCUUAAGAGAUUAGGCAGUGCUCGCAAGAGAACCGGAACACAGGUGCUGCNUGGCUGUCGUCAGCUCGUGUCGUGAGAUGUUGGGUUAAGUCCCGCAACGAGCGCAACCCUUGUCAUUAGUUGCUACGAAAGGGCACUCUAAUGAGACUGCCGGUGACAAACCGGAGGAAGGUGGGGAUGACGUCAAGUCCUCAUGGCCCUUAUGGGUAGGGCUUCACACGUCAUACAAUGGUCGGGACAGAGGGUCGCCAACCCGCGAGGGGGAGCCAAUCCCAGAAACCCGAUCGUAGUCCGGAUCGCAGUCUGCAACUCGACUGCGUGAAGUCGGAAUCGCUAGUAAUCGCGGAUCAGAAUGUCGCGGUGAAUACGUUCCCGGGUCUUGUACACACCGCCCGUCACACCAUGGGAGUGGGUUUUACCAGAAGUAGUUAGCCUAACCGCAAGGAGGGCGAUUACCACGGUAGGAUUCAUGACUGGGGUG
This 503-nucleotide ribosomal RNA is filed under the name uncultured bacterium. Its description in RNAcentral is "bacterial SSU rRNA". It matches the Rfam family "Bacterial small subunit ribosomal RNA", at positions 975 to 1482 of the family's 1533-position model. The record is from RNAcentral.